RNAcentral lists this transfer RNA (77 nucleotides) under Aeromicrobium camelliae. RNAcentral's name for it is "tRNA-Pro". It matches the Rfam family "tRNA". From Rfam's summary of the family: Transfer RNA (tRNA) molecules are approximately 80 nucleotides in length. Their secondary structure includes four short double-helical elements and three loops (D, anti-codon, and T loops). Lineage: Bacteria; Bacillati; Actinomycetota; Actinomycetes; Propionibacteriales; Nocardioidaceae. The record is from RNAcentral.
CGGGAUGUAGCGCAGCUUGGUAGCGCAUCCGCUUUGGGAGCGGAGGGUCGCAGGUUCAAAUCCUGUCAUCCCGACCG